GGGGCCGACCUGGUUUCGACGUGGGUGCGGAGUCGGGAUAGUGCAUGUCGAGCACCAGUUCGCUCGUUAAACCACUGGAAACAAAGUAACUGCGAACGACGAACGUUUCGCCCUCGCCGCUUAACACCGGUGAGCCUCUCAACGGUUGGCCCAUGGGCCGGGCGUGAGCCGCAAGGCAAGCGCUGAGAGGUCAUUCACAUGGGCUGGUCUCCUGGUUGGCCAUGCAUCAGGAGGUGAGAUCAAGUGGCUGGUGUCAUCGGUAGCGUGCUGCUGCGCGACCGAAGGCACGAGAAUCAAAUCAGUCAGCUAAGCAUGUAGAUCUACCUGGCGAUGGCUUGCGGACGGGGGUUCAAUUCCCCCCGGCUCCACCA
This 371-nucleotide transfer-messenger RNA is filed under the name Ideonella dechloratans. Its description in RNAcentral is "Standard tmRNA". It matches the Rfam family "transfer-messenger RNA". Rfam says of the family: Bacterial tmRNA, also known as 10Sa RNA or SsrA, is named for its dual tRNA and mRNA-like properties. Its role is to liberate the mRNA from a stalled ribosome. Lineage: Bacteria; Pseudomonadati; Pseudomonadota; Betaproteobacteria; Burkholderiales; Sphaerotilaceae. The record is from Rfam by way of RNAcentral.